Non-coding RNA from Ictidomys tridecemlineatus (thirteen-lined ground squirrel), 66 nucleotides. The record is from Rfam. Lineage: Eukaryota; Metazoa; Chordata; Mammalia; Rodentia; Sciuridae.
UUUGUAUUAAUGAAGACUACACAUAAAACCUUUCUGAGGAUUUGUGUAGAUCCGAUAUUUAGCAAA